AGUGAACGCUGGCGGUAGGCCUAACACAUGCAAGUCGAACGGCACCACAUUAAUGGCUUUCUCUUACGGGUUGCGGGUGGCGGACGGCGGAGGAAUACGUCGGAAGCGACUUUUUCGUGGUGGAUAACGGGGGAAAACUUAGGCUAAUACCGCAUACGAGCUACGGGUCAAAGCAGGAGAUCUUCUGGUCUUACGAGCUUGGAUGAUCCGAGGUCGGGUUAGAUAGUUUGCGGGGGCAAGGCCCACCAAGGCGACGAACCGUAGCUGGUCUUAGAGGAUGAUCCGCUACACUGGAAGUGAGACACGGUCCAGACUUUUACGGGAGGCAGCAGUCGGGAAUAUUGGACGAUGGGGGAAAGCCUGAUCUAGCCAUACCGCGUGGGUGAAGAAGGACUUCGGGUUGUAGAGCCAUUAUGUUGGGAAAGAAAAGCAGCAGGUUAAUCACGCGAGGUACUGACGGUACCCAACGAAUAAGCACCGGCUAACUUCGUG
Molecule: ribosomal RNA, 492 nt
Filed under: uncultured bacterium
Lineage: Bacteria
Description: partial 16S ribosomal RNA
Rfam family: Bacterial small subunit ribosomal RNA
Source: RNAcentral